This 422-nucleotide ribosomal RNA is filed under the name uncultured cyanobacterium. RNAcentral's name for it is "bacterial SSU rRNA". It matches the Rfam family "Bacterial small subunit ribosomal RNA", at positions 358 to 795 of the family's 1533-position model. RNAcentral also lists the same sequence under 1 other name. Lineage: Bacteria; Bacillati; Cyanobacteriota. The record is from RNAcentral.
GGAAUUUUCCGCAAUGGGCGAAAGCCUGACGGAGCAACGCCGCGUGAGGGAUGAAGGCCUCUGGGCUGUAAACCUCUUUUAUCAAGGAAGAAGAUCUGACGGUACUUGAUGAAUAAGCCACGGCUAAUUCCGUGCCAGCAGCCGCGGUAAUACGGGAGUGGCAAGCGUUAUCCGGAAUUAUUGGGCGUAAAGCGUCCGCAGGCGGUCUGUCAAGUCUGCUGUUAAAGCGUGGAGCUUAACUCCAUUUCGGCAGUGGAAACUGACAGACUAGAGUGUGGUAGGGGCAGAGGGAAUUCCCGGUGUAGCGGUGAAAUGCGUAGAUAUCGGGAAGAACACCAGUGGCGAAGGCGCUCUGCUGGGCCAUAACUGACGCUCAUGGACGAAAGCCAGGGGAGCGAAAGGGAUUAGAUACCCCAGUAGUC